This 165-nucleotide non-coding RNA is filed under the name Vagococcus fluvialis. RNAcentral's name for it is "Enterococcus sRNA B11". It matches the Rfam family "Enterococcus sRNA B11". Rfam says of the family: Name 'Ref' stands for RNA in E. faecalis. Lineage: Bacteria; Bacillati; Bacillota; Bacilli; Lactobacillales; Enterococcaceae. The record is from RNAcentral.
GACUUGCCCCAAAAGGGGGUGCUGUUCAUGCUACAACAAAUCUUCACAUUGAUUGUCGCACCACUACUUGUUGGGCUAGUUCUCGAACUAGUUUCUCAUUGGUUAGAGGAGAAAGACGACAAUUAGCAAGUUGUCAUUAACCCACACGUUCGUAGUCGCAGCGAA